AGUGAACGCUGGCGGUAGGCCUAACACAUGCAAGUCGAACGGCAGCACAGUAAGAGCUUGCUCUUACGGGUGGCGAGUGGCGGACGGGUGAGGAAUACAUCGGAAUCUACUUUUUCGUGGGGGAUAACGUAGGGAAACUUAGGCUAUUACCGCAUCGGACCUCGGGUGGAAGGCGGGGGAUUUUCGGCCCUGGCGGGUUGGAAGGAGCGGAGGUCGGAUUAGCUAGUGGGGGGGGUAAAGGCCAACCAAGGCGACGAUCCGUAGCUGGUCUGAUAGGAUGAUCAGCCACACUGGAACUGAGACACGGUCCAGACUCCUACGGGAGGCAGCAGUGGGGAAUAUUGGACAAUGGGCGCAAGCCUGAUCCAGCCAUACCGCGUGGGUGAAGAAGGCCUUCGGGUUGUAAAGCCCUUUUGUUGGGAAAGAAAAGCAGCAGGUUAAUACCCCGCUGUUCUGACGGUACCCAAAGAAUAAGCACCGGCUAACUUCGUG
This 492-nucleotide ribosomal RNA is filed under the name uncultured bacterium. RNAcentral's name for it is "partial 16S ribosomal RNA". It matches the Rfam family "Bacterial small subunit ribosomal RNA", at positions 29 to 507 of the family's 1533-position model. The record is from RNAcentral.